UCCCUUAGUAACUGCGAGUGAAGAGGGAAAAGCUCAAAUUUAAAAUCUGGCAGUGUUUUGCUGUCCGAGUUGUAACCUAGAGAAGUGUAACCUGUGCUGGACCGUGUAUAAGUCUCCUGGAAUGGAGCAUCAUAGAGGGUGAGAAUCCCGUCUUUGACAUGGACUACCAGUGCAUUGUGGUUGCGCACUCAACGAGUCGAGUUGUUUGGGAAUGCAGCUCUAAAUGGGUGGUAAAUUCCAUCUAAAGCUAAAUAUUGGCGAGAGACCGAUAGCGAACAAGUACCGUGAGGGAAAGAUGAAAAGAACUUUGGAAAGAGAGUUAAACAGUAUGUGAAAUUGUUGAAAGGGAAACGUUUGAAGUCAGUCGCGUUGGUUGGGGAUCAGCCUGACAUUGUUGGGUGUACUUCCUGGUUGACGGGCCAACAUCAGUUUUGACUGCCAGAAAAAGGCCAAAGGAAUGUGGCACCUUUGGGUGUGUUAUAGCCAUUGGUCGUAUAUGGUGGUUGGGACUGAGGAAAGCAGCGUGCCGAAAGGCCGGGUUUCGACCACGUUCACGCUGAGGAUGUUGGCAUAAUGGCUUUAAGCGACCCGUCUUGAAACACGGACCAAGGAGUCUAACAUGCGUGCGAGUGUUUGGGUGGAAAACCCUUACGCGUAAUGAAAGUGAAAGUUGAGAU
RNAcentral lists this ribosomal RNA (677 nucleotides) under Amanita sp. RNAcentral describes it as "LSU rRNA". It matches the Rfam family "Eukaryotic large subunit ribosomal RNA", at positions 76 to 741 of the family's 3401-position model. Lineage: Eukaryota; Fungi; Basidiomycota; Agaricomycetes; Agaricales; Amanitaceae. The record is from RNAcentral.